GUUGGCUCACGGUUCUAUAGUUCUGUGUAGAACUGUGUUCCUUCACAGUCUCUUCAGUUUUUUUAAACAUAAAGAAAAACCACUGAAUGAGAAGGUGUGUCAUGUUCACCAAGUUAAAGGUUGUAGUUUGUGUGUAAGAUGUCUUGUAAUAAACUAUGAGUGAUUUUAUAUCUGCAGGUAACAUUAUUAACAUAAUGAAAAAUGUCACAGUAGCAUUUUUUUCCCUUUGUCCAGGUUAAAGGUGGCAGAUUUGUGCACUUCACUGUCUCAGUAAAGUCAUAUUAGGUCAUGGUUGAGUUUCUUUCUACUGUAUGUCUGUAGUUUUCACACAGUAUCUGAAUAACAGAUGAACAGUAAAGUAUGAUGCAGUUCCAGCAGGUCCUGCUGGUAACAGUUUUAAACCCUAGACUGUGCUGUAAGGCUGUGAUUAGACAGUCUGCAGGAGCACCACAUGCAUAUUUAGACUGACUGAACUGCGAAAAUACGAACGUGUUCAUGUUCUGAGCAUUUCAGUAGCUGCUCUUUACAGACGGUCCCUCUCGCUCUCUUUAGCACAGCUGCAGUGGUUCCAGUCAUCCAGGCUCCGAGGUGGGGGUGAAGGAAAGUUGGAGAGGAUGUUGGCUGGUCGUGUAAAGGAUCCGGCUCAUUAAAAAAUCAAACAUAAAGAAGAAAUAAUCUGAUUCAGAGGAAGAGGCCAGACUCACCUGACCCCAGCUGUGAGUCCAAGAAGAGUGAUGAGUCAAUGGACCGUCCAGUUCAGUUCAGAGGGGAGGACAGUUCUGCUGGACUGAGUCUGAUUCAGAGGAAGAGGCCAGACUCACCUGACCCCAGCUGUGUGUCCAUGAAGACUGUCAAGUCGAUGGGAGAACCAUUAUAUUUCAGAGGGGAGGACAGUUCUGCUGGACUGAGUCUGAUUCAGAGGAAGAGGCCAGACUCACCUGACCCCAGCUGUGUGUCCAUGAAGAGUGACGAGUCAAUGGACCAUCCAAAUGUGUUCAGAGGGGAGGACAGUUCUGCUGUGCCGAGGUAAAGAUGGCUUUAACAGUGAAGAACAGUGUAGAGCUCCUGUCCACAAGGUGGAGCACACUUACCCUCAGGGCUACAGCCAGUGACGCUGUGGAUAUAUCAGACAAUUUCAGCUUUA
Molecule: long non-coding RNA, 1144 nt
Organism: Pygocentrus nattereri (red-bellied piranha)
Lineage: Eukaryota; Metazoa; Chordata; Actinopteri; Characiformes; Serrasalmidae
Source: Ensembl